Molecule: long non-coding RNA, 1545 nt
Organism: Pogoniulus pusillus (Red-fronted tinkerbird)
Lineage: Eukaryota; Metazoa; Chordata; Aves; Piciformes; Lybiidae
Exons: 3
Source: RefSeq, a predicted model, not a curated record
UCCUCUGCAGGCUGAGCAGCCACAGCUCUCCCAGCCUGUGCCCACAGCAGAGCUUCUCCUGCCCUCAGCAUCUCCUUGGCCUCCUCUGGAUCCUCUUCAGCAGCUGCCUGACCUUCUUAUGCUGAGUGCACAAGAACUGGAUGCAGUACUCCAGGUAUGGUCUGAGCAGAGCAGAGGGGCAGAAUCCCCUCCCUGUGCUGCUGCUCUCCCUGCUCUGCCUCUGGCUGCCUCUGGGCUGCCAGUGACCAGUGCUGGCUCCUGGGCAGUUUGUCACCAGCUGACGCCCCCAAGGCCUUCUCCUGCAGGCUGCUCUCCAGCCACUCUUCCCAGCUAGGGAUUGCCCUGACCCUUGUGCAGGGCCUUGCUGUUGGCCUUGUUAACCUUCUCAAGGCUGGCCUGGGGUCAGCUCUGCAGUCAGUCCAAGUGGAUGCAUUCUAAUACCUUUAAAAAACCAAGAGAUGCUCUUCCUGCAGCAUAAAAAGCAGAGAGAGAGAGCUCGGGAGAGACUCCUCUGAGCAGAGCUGAGGCAGCCCUGGCAGCUGUGCAGCCUUUGGUGCUUUCCAGAGGAGAACAAUGACACCUAACGGCAGAGAACUUGGCUAAGCUUCGUCUUGAACAGAACAUUCCCUUAGGGAAGUGGGAGGUGGAACACACAGGAGCCAAAGUGUCACACUUGCCAACCCUCCCUGACCUCAGCAGCCCUUCUGAACGAGACAGCCUCUGCAGACACAGCCCCAGCUGAGCUUGCAGUGCUGUGCCAGCCUCAACCAUGCUCCAAACACUCAUCUUGCCUUUAUUAACACCCAGGAGUCCUUAGCAGCUGCAGAGCAAACAGAUCCCUGCUGGGUUCUGACAUCCAAAGAAGCCCUGCACAGGAGGAACUGCUUCAGCAGCCUUCAGUGUUGGAUCAUGGAGUCACAGAGUGGGCUGGGCUGGAAGGGAGCUCCAAAGGGCAGCCAGCCUCAGCCCCCUGCACUCAGCAGGGACAUCUUCCACUGCAGCAGGUUGCUCACAGCCUUCUCCAGCCUCACCUUGAGCAUCUCCAGCCGUGGGACCCCAACCACCUCCCUGGGCAGCCUGUGGCAGUGCUCCAGCAGCCUCCUGCUGCAGAACUUGUUCCUCAGCAAAAACCUGCUCUGGGGGAGCUUGCAUCAUCUUCUGCAUGGCUGGGCAGGCACCAGGCUGGGUGGGCACCAGGCUGGCUUGGCACCACUGAAGCCUUGUUCCUGCGCUGCACUCUGCGAAUCUGAGCUCGGACUGAGCUUGACUCUGCCCUACUGAGAUUGUGCUUGGCUGCUGGAGAACCUCAACCAACCAAACCAGCCCAGAAGUUCAAACCAGGCCCUGGUCCUGCCAGAACACUUCCUGCAGCAAGAAGACAGGAGGGUGAGCAAGCAGCUGCAGGUCUCAGAGCUGUGUUGUCUCCCUGCCUGGCUUCGUUCUGAUGGCUGCGGUGCUUUUGUCGGCGUUGAGCAUCCUACGCUGCAGGAGGAGAACACCACAGAGCUGGCUGAAGAGGAAGAUGAAGGAAGAAGAAAACAGAGG